This 83-nucleotide transfer RNA is filed under the name Erysipelotrichaceae bacterium. RNAcentral describes it as "tRNA-Leu". It matches the Rfam family "tRNA". From Rfam's summary of the family: Transfer RNA (tRNA) molecules are approximately 80 nucleotides in length. Their secondary structure includes four short double-helical elements and three loops (D, anti-codon, and T loops). Further hydrogen bonds mediate the characteristic L-shaped molecular structure. tRNAs have two regions of fundamental functional importance: the anti-codon, which is responsible for specific mRNA codon recognition, and the 3' end, to which the tRNAs corresponding amino acid is attached (by aminoacyl-tRNA synthetases). tRNAs cope with the degeneracy of the genetic code in two manners: having more than one tRNA (with a specific anti-codon) for a particular amino acid; and 'wobble' base-pairing, i.e. permitting non-standard base-pairing at the 3rd anti-codon position. Lineage: Bacteria; Bacillati; Bacillota; Erysipelotrichia; Erysipelotrichales; Erysipelotrichaceae. The record is from RNAcentral.
GCACUAGUGGCGGAACUGGCAGACGCGUACGAUUCAGAUUCGUAUGGGAUACCGUGCAGGUUCAAAUCCUGUCUAGUGCACCA